CCAGCAGCCGCGGUAAUUCCAGCUCCAAUAGCGUAUAUUAAAGUUGUUGUGGUUAAAAAGCUCGUAGUUGAACCUUGGGCCUGGCUGGCCGGUCCGCCUCACCGCGUGCACUGGUCCGGCCGGGCCUUUCCCUCUGCGGAACCCCAUGCCCUUCACUGGGUGUGGCGGGGAAACAGGACUUUUACUUUGAAAAAAUUAGAGUGCUCAAGGCAGGCCUAUGCUCGAAUACAUUAGCAUGGAAUAAUAGAAUAGGACGUGUGGUUCUAUUUUGUUGGUUUCUAGGACCGCCGUAAUGAUUAAUAGGGACAGUCGGGGGCAUCAGUAUUCAAUUGUCAGAGGUGAAAUUCUUGGAUUUAUUGAAGACUAACUACUGCGAAAGCAUUUGCCAAGGAUGUUUUCAUUAAUCAGGAACGAAAGUUAGGGGAUCGAAGACGAUCAGAUACCGUCGUAGUCUUAACCAUAAACUAUGCCGACUAGGGAUCGGACGAUGUUACAUUUUUGACGCGUUCGGCACCUUACGAGAAAUCAAAGUGCUUGGGCUCCAGGGGGAGUAUGGUCGCAAGGCUGAAACUUAAAGAAAUUGACGGAAGGGCACCACCAGGGGUGGAGCCUGCGGCUUAAUUUGACUCAACACGGGGAAACUCACCAGGUCCAGACACAAUGAGGAUUGACAGAUUGAGAGCUCUUUCUUGAUUUUGUGGGUGGUGGUGCAUGGCCGUUCUUAGUUGGUGGAGUGAUUUGUCUGCUUAAUUGCGAUAACGAACGAGACCUUAACCUGCUAAAUAGCCCGUAUUGCUUUGGCAGUACGCCGGCUUCUUAGAGGGACUAUCGGCUCAAGCCGAUGGAAGUUUGAGGCAAUAACAGGUCAGUGAGGCCC
This 877-nucleotide ribosomal RNA is filed under the name Trichoderma sp. RNAcentral describes it as "SSU rRNA". It matches the Rfam family "Eukaryotic small subunit ribosomal RNA", at positions 567 to 1472 of the family's 1831-position model. The record is from RNAcentral. Lineage: Eukaryota; Fungi; Ascomycota; Sordariomycetes; Hypocreales; Hypocreaceae.